Long non-coding RNA from Rhincodon typus (whale shark), 419 nucleotides. RefSeq lists it as uncharacterized. The record is from RefSeq and is a predicted model, not a curated record. NCBI's taxonomy places the organism in Eukaryota, Metazoa, Chordata, Chondrichthyes, Orectolobiformes, Rhincodontidae. The transcript is spliced from 3 exons.
CCAAGAUUGUCAGCCCCGAGGAGCUGGCGAAGUCCGGCAGCCGGCCGAAGAGUUCCUUCUUCACUUUAUCCAUCUUCUCGUUGAUAACAGUGGUCAUUCUGCGCAUGAGGAUCGAGGGUGACUUGUUUCUACUCCGGUUCGAUAGGUUCUGAGAUGGCUGAUGAGUCCAGUGCGUGAUCUGCAGAGUCUGUCACAUGCAGGACAGGUGAUGUUUACAAGCCACAAGCUUUCCCUUGAAAGUUCCUGACCGUAUCUGGACUCCCUUUAAGAAGCAACCUUCUUCACAAAACUUUUUUUCUAUUUGCCUCAGAAUAAACUGUCAAAAAGUUGGAAAAUAGAAUUUACAACGCUGUACAGUAAUAUCUCAAUUCUAACAAUCAAAACUCCCUAUAAUUGUUGCAAUAAAUAUCCAGACUUCC